Molecule: ribosomal RNA, 495 nt
Filed under: uncultured bacterium
Lineage: Bacteria
Description: partial 16S ribosomal RNA
Rfam family: Bacterial small subunit ribosomal RNA
Source: RNAcentral
GACGAACGCUGGCGGCGUGCCUAAUACAUGCAAGUAGAACGCUGAAGGAGGAGCUUGCUUCUCUGGAUGAGUUGCGAACGGGUGAGUAACGCGUAGGUAACCUGCCUGGUAGCGGGGGAUAACUAUUGGAAACGAAAGCUAAUACCGCAUAAGAGUAGAUGUCGCAUGACAUUUGCUUAAAAGGUGCAACUGCAUCACUACCAGAUGGACCUGCGUUGUAUUAGCUAGUUGGUGAGGUAACGGCUCACCAAGGCAACGAUACAUAGCCGACCUGAGAGGGUGAUCGGCCACACUGGGACUGAGACACGGCCCAGACUCCUACGGGAGGCAGCAGUAGGGAAUCUUCGGCAAUGGACGGAAGUCUGACCGAGCAACGCCGCGUGAGUGAAGAAGGGUGUCGGAUCGUAAAGCUCUGUUGUAAGAGAAGAACGAGUGUGAGAGUGGAAAGUUCACACUGUGACGGUAUCUUACCAGAAAGGGACGGCUAACUACGUG